RNAcentral lists this ribosomal RNA (358 nucleotides) under Diacantha collaris. Its description in RNAcentral is "partial 16S ribosomal RNA". The record is from RNAcentral. Lineage: Eukaryota; Metazoa; Arthropoda; Insecta; Coleoptera; Chrysomelidae.
CCGCGAUAUUUUGAUCGUGCUAAGGUAGCAUAAUCAUUAGUUUUUUAAUUGAAAGCUAGAAUGAAGGGUUGGAUGAAAAAAAUUCUGUCUUAAUUAAAAUUUUAUAGAAUUUUAUUUUUAAGUUAAAAAGCUUAAAUUAAAUUAAAAGACGAGAAGACCCUAUAGAGUUUAAUAUUUAUUUUAAUUUUUUAUUUUUAGAAUUAAAUUUAAUUAUAAAAUAAUUAUUUGAUUGGGGUGAUUAAAAAAUUUAAAAAACUUUUUUUAUAUUUGAAUAUAAUUAUAUAGAUAAUUGAUCCUAUAAUUUUGAUUAUAAGAUAAAAUUACCUUAGGGAUAACAGCGUAAUUUUAUUGGAAAGUU